RNAcentral lists this ribosomal RNA (467 nucleotides) under uncultured bacterium. Its description in RNAcentral is "partial 16S ribosomal RNA". It matches the Rfam family "Bacterial small subunit ribosomal RNA", at positions 29 to 507 of the family's 1533-position model. The record is from RNAcentral.
ACGAACGCUGGCGGCGUGCUUAACACAUGCAAGUCGAACGGAAAGGCCCUGCUUUUGUGGGGUGCUCGAGUGGCGAACGGGUGAGUAACACGUGAGUAACCUGCCCUUGACUUUGGGAUAACUUCAGGAAACUGGGGCUAAUACCGGAUAGGAGCUCCUGCUGCAUGGUGGGGGUUGGAAAGUUUCGGCGGUUGGGGAUGGACUCGCGGCUUAUCAGCGUGUUGGUGGGGUAGUGGCUUACCAAGGCUUUGACGGGUAGCCGGCCUGAGAGGGUGACCGGCCACAUUGGGACUGAGAUACGGCCCAGACUCCUACGGGAGGCAGCAGUGGGGAAUAUUGCACAAUGGGCGGAAGCCUGAUGCAGCAACGCCGCGUGCGGGAUGACGGCCUUCGGGUUGUAAACCGCUUUCGCCUGUGACGAAGCGUGAGUGACGGUAAUGGGUAAAGAAGCACCGGCUAACUACGUG